RNAcentral lists this non-coding RNA (21 nucleotides) under Caenorhabditis elegans. Lineage: Eukaryota; Metazoa; Nematoda; Chromadorea; Rhabditida; Rhabditidae. The record is from RNAcentral.
UGAGACUAUAAUGUCCGCGCU